AACGAACGCUGGCGGCAUGCCUAACACAUGCAAGUCGAACGAGACCUUCGGGUCUAGUGGCGCACGGGUGCGUAACGCGUGGGAACCUGCCCUUAGGUUCGGAAUAACUCCCCGAAAGGGGUGCUAAUACCGGAUAAUGUCUUCGGACCAAAGAUUUAUCGCCUUUGGAUGGGCCCGCGUUGGAUUAGCUAGUUGGUAGGGUAAAAGCCUACCAAGGCGACGAUCCAUAGCUGGUCUGAGAGGAUGAUCAGCCACACUGGGACUGAGACACGGCCCAGACUCCUACGGAAGGCAGCAGUGGGGAAUAUUGGACGAUGGGCGAAAGCCUGAUCCAGCAAUGCCGCGUGAGUGAUGAAGGCCUUAGGGUUGUAAAGCUCUUUUACCCGGGAUGAUAAUGACAGUACCGGGAGAAUAAGCUCCGGCUAACUCCGUG
Molecule: ribosomal RNA, 433 nt
Filed under: uncultured bacterium
Lineage: Bacteria
Description: partial 16S ribosomal RNA
Rfam family: Bacterial small subunit ribosomal RNA
Source: RNAcentral